RNAcentral lists this unclassified non-coding RNA (253 nucleotides) under uncultured Rickettsiales bacterium. RNAcentral describes it as "contains 16S-23S intergenic spacer region". It matches the Rfam family "Bacterial small subunit ribosomal RNA", at positions 524 to 776 of the family's 1533-position model. The record is from RNAcentral. Lineage: Bacteria; Pseudomonadati; Pseudomonadota; Alphaproteobacteria; Rickettsiales.
GACAGAGGGUGCUAGCGUUGUUCGGAAUGACUGGGCGUAAAGGGCGCGUAGGCGGUUUUUCAAGUCAGAUGUGAAAGCCCCGGGCUUAACCUGGGAACGGCAUUUGAUACUGGAAGACUGGAGUACGAGAGAGGAAAGCGGAAUUCCUAGUGUAGAGGUGAAAUUCGUAGAUAUUAGGAGGAACACCAGAGGCGAAGGCGGCUUUCUGGCUCGUAACUGACGCUGAGGCGCGAAAGCGUGGGUAGCAAACAGG